This 497-nucleotide ribosomal RNA is filed under the name uncultured bacterium. RNAcentral describes it as "partial 16S ribosomal RNA". It matches the Rfam family "Bacterial small subunit ribosomal RNA", at positions 28 to 507 of the family's 1533-position model. The record is from RNAcentral.
GAUGAACGCUGGCGGUGUGCCUAAUACAUGCAAGUCGAGCGAACAGACGAGGAGCUUACUCCUCUGACGUUAGCGGCGGACGGGUGAGUAACACGUGGAUAACCUACCUAUAAGACUGGGAUAACUUCGGGAAACCGGGGCUAAUACCGGAUAACAUGUUGAACCGCAUGGUUCAACAGUGAAAGACGGUCUUGCUGUCACUUAUAGAUGGAUCCGCGUCGCAUUAGCUAGUUGGUAAGGUAACGGCUUACCAAGGCAACGAUGCGUAGCCGACCUGAGAGGGUGAUCGGCCACACUGGAACUGAGACACGGUCCAGACUCCUACGGGAGGCAGCAGUAGGGAAUCUUCCGCAAUGGGCGAAAGCCUGACGGAGCAACGCCGCGUGAGUGAAGAAGGUCUUCGGAUCGUAAAACUCUGUUAUUAGGGAAGAACAAAUGUGUAAGUAACUAUGCACGUCUUGACGGUACCUAAUCAGAAAGCCACGGCUAACUACGUG